GAUGAACGCUGGCGGCGUGCCUAAUACAUGCAAGUCGAGCGAACAGACGAGGAGCUUGCUCCUCUGACGUUAGCGGCGGACGGGUGAGUAACACGUGGAUAACCUACCUAUAAGACUGGGAUAACUUCGGGAAACCGGAGCUAAUACCGGAUAAUAUAUUUAACCGCAUGGUUCUAUAGUGAAAGAUGGUUUUGCUGUCACUUAUAGAUGGACCCGCGCCGCAUUAGCUAGUUGGUAAGGUAACGGCUUACCAAGGCGACGAUGCGUAGCCGACCUGAGAGGGUGAUCGGCCACACUGGAACUGAGACACGGUCCAGACUCCUACGGGAGGCAGCAGUAGGGAAUCUUCCGCAAUGGGCGAAAGCCUGACGGAGCAACGCCGCGUGAGUGAUGAAGGUCUUCGGAUCGUAAAACUCUGUUAUUAGGGAAGAACAAAUGUGUAAGUAACUAUGCACGUCUUGACGGUACCUAAUCAGAAAGCCACGGCUAACUACGUG
Molecule: ribosomal RNA, 497 nt
Filed under: uncultured bacterium
Lineage: Bacteria
Description: partial 16S ribosomal RNA
Rfam family: Bacterial small subunit ribosomal RNA
Source: RNAcentral